This 481-nucleotide ribosomal RNA is filed under the name uncultured bacterium. RNAcentral's name for it is "partial 16S ribosomal RNA". It matches the Rfam family "Bacterial small subunit ribosomal RNA", at positions 30 to 507 of the family's 1533-position model. The record is from RNAcentral.
AUUGAACGCUGGCGGCAUGCCUUACACAUGCAAGUCGAACGGUAACGGGCCUUCGGGUGCCGACGAGUGGCGAACGGGUGAGUAAUACAUCGGAACGUGCCCGAUCGUGGGGGAUAACGAGGCGAAAGCUUUGCUAAUACCGCAUACGAUCUACGGAUGAAAGCAGGGGACCGCAAGGCCUUGCGCGGACGGAGCGGCCGAUGGCAGAUUAGGUAGUUGGUGGGAUAAAAGCUUACCAAGCCGACGAUCUGUAGCUGGUCUGAGAGGAUGAUCAGCCACACUGGGACUGAGACACGGCCCAGACUCCACGGGAGGCAGCAGUGGGGAAUUUUGGACAAUGGGCGCAAGCCUGAUCCAGCCAUGCCGCGUGCAGGAUGAAGGCCUUCGGGUUGUAAACUGCUUUUGUACGGAACGAAAAGCCUUCUUUUAAUACAGGAGGGUCAUGACGGUACCGUAAGAAUAAGCACCGGCUAACUACGUG